RNAcentral lists this ribosomal RNA (202 nucleotides) under uncultured Anaerolineaceae bacterium. RNAcentral's name for it is "partial 16S ribosomal RNA". It matches the Rfam family "Bacterial small subunit ribosomal RNA", at positions 1182 to 1382 of the family's 1533-position model. Lineage: Bacteria; Bacillati; Chloroflexota; Anaerolineae; Anaerolineales; Anaerolineaceae. The record is from RNAcentral.
ACGUCAAGUCAGCAUGGCCUUUAUAUCCUGGGCUACACACACGCUACAAUGGGAAGGGACAAUAGGUUGCGAAGCCGCGAGGCGGAGCCAAUCCAGCAAAACUUCCCUCAGUUCAGAUUGCAGGCUGCAACCGCCUGCAUGAAGUUGGAGUUGCUAGUAAACGCAGGUCAGCCAUACUGCGUUGAAUACGUUCCCGGGGCUU